This 69-nucleotide transfer RNA is filed under the name Genetta servalina. Its description in RNAcentral is "tRNA-Asp". It matches the Rfam family "tRNA". Rfam says of the family: Transfer RNA (tRNA) molecules are approximately 80 nucleotides in length. Their secondary structure includes four short double-helical elements and three loops (D, anti-codon, and T loops). The record is from RNAcentral. Lineage: Eukaryota; Metazoa; Chordata; Mammalia; Carnivora; Viverridae.
GAGAUACUAGUAAAAAUUACAUAACUUUGUCAAAGUUAAAUUAUAGGUUCAAACCCUUUGUAUCUCUAU